RNAcentral lists this ribosomal RNA (252 nucleotides) under uncultured Comamonadaceae bacterium. Its description in RNAcentral is "partial 16S ribosomal RNA". It matches the Rfam family "Bacterial small subunit ribosomal RNA", at positions 526 to 777 of the family's 1533-position model. The record is from RNAcentral. Lineage: Bacteria; Pseudomonadati; Pseudomonadota; Betaproteobacteria; Burkholderiales; Comamonadaceae.
CGUAGGGUGCAAGCGUUAAUCGGAAUUACUGGGCGUAAAGCGUGCGCAGGCGGUUAUAUAAGACAGUUGUGAAAUCCCCGGGCUUAACCUGGGAACUGCAUCUGUGACUGUAUAGCUAGAGUACGGCAGAGGGGGAUGGAAUUCCGCGUGUAGCAGUGAAAUGCGUAGAUAUGCGGAGGAACACCGAUGGCGAAGGCAAUCCCCUGGGCCUGUACUGACGCUCAUGCACGAAAGCGUGGGGAGCAAACAGGA